This 253-nucleotide ribosomal RNA is filed under the name uncultured bacterium. RNAcentral's name for it is "partial 16S ribosomal RNA". It matches the Rfam family "Bacterial small subunit ribosomal RNA", at positions 524 to 776 of the family's 1533-position model. The record is from RNAcentral.
UACGUAGGGUGCGAGCGUUAAUCGGAAUUACUGGGCGUAAAGCGUGCGCAGGCGGUUUUGUAAGCCAGAUGUGAAAGCCCCGGGCUUAACCUGGGAAUGGCAUUUGGGACUGCAAGGCUUGAGUGCGGCAGAGGAGACUGGAAUUCCGCGUGUAGCAGUGAAAUGCGUAGAUAUCUGGAGGAACACCGGUGGCGAAGGCGGCAUCCUGGACCGACACUGACACUGAGGAGCGAAAGCCAGGGGAGCAAACGGG